UAUGGCGAAGUGCUCACUGCUUCAGUUAGCGUGGCAUACUUGUCCGAUUCUUCGCAGCUAACGUGGUGAAAGGUCGUCCUGUUCAUGCGCGACGAUAACCGUGUAACUCGCUGAGUUUCAACUUGCAGUCAAGAAGUUUCGAUGGGGUUCUCGAAAGCUCUCCUUGGAUUCACGGUGAUCGCAAGUUCCAGUAUGAUGGUUGAGACCAACCCAACACUAGCUCCAAUUCAGGCACGUUGACAUGAAUGACGGUAUAUUUGCCGAUACCGCAAUCAAUACGCCGCCACCGUUUCUUUCAGCCCUGUCAUGAAGGAUCGUCCCCCUAGAAGAAAAGGCUCAGAAACAUGUCUACAGGAUCCCCUGUGGUGACUGUCCCGCCUCCUACGUUAGUGGAACUAAAAACUUCUCGGAACGUCGAUGUCAGCACGUCGAUGUCGCCAAAAAUAAUAACGUGCAAGGUAGCGCGCUGGCAGAACACGUCCAGAAAGAGAGUCACACGAUCGGAUUCAACGACAGCUCUAUUCUUGGCCCGGAAAGAAACUGGCGAAGACGCCUUUUAUUGGUGUCCUGGUACAUUCAAAACACCGAAAAUAACGUCAACCGGUCAACUGGGACACUUCCAAGCGCCUAAGUCUCCGGCUUACGGCCCGUCACGCGGGGCGCUACGAACCAUAACACGUACAGAAACAACGGCCGCUUUAAAGAAGCCAACAACACCGGGCAAUUGGCAAGACGACGUCAAGAACGAAAACAGUCAACAGGGGGCCGAACUGGCCUUGAAGCGUCGGGCUCCGUAUUAUUUUUUUGUUAGGGUUUUCCUUCUACAUUAAUAAACUAGAGCCCGUUACAAAGGGUACACCCGUUACCAUUAUCCUUC
Long non-coding RNA from Ixodes scapularis (black-legged tick), 877 nucleotides. RefSeq lists it as uncharacterized. The transcript is spliced from 3 exons. NCBI's taxonomy places the organism in Eukaryota, Metazoa, Arthropoda, Arachnida, Ixodida, Ixodidae. The record is from RefSeq and is a predicted model, not a curated record.